Molecule: long non-coding RNA, 185 nt
Organism: Cygnus olor (mute swan)
Lineage: Eukaryota; Metazoa; Chordata; Aves; Anseriformes; Anatidae
Exons: 3
Source: RefSeq, a predicted model, not a curated record
GCCAAGCAUUUAUGGACCGGAUCCUUCUAUUCCAUCCCACGUCACCACCCCAGAAUGGAAGGAGGGAAGAGAAAGGGACUUAUUCUCCAGACUCUUUCACCAACCGUCCCAAGGCCUUGAAAUCACAGUGUGUGAUCUCACAGACUGCCAAGAGUUGGUGCAGAGCUCCCACAUCCUGCCACACC